AUAUUAAUGCUGAUGGCAAAAUGACAACUAACAAAUACAACCUUUUAUUUCUUCAGUCAGGGGAGACAUAAGAAUGCACAGAAGAAACGAAUGCAUAAAGUAACCGAAAACAUGAAUCUGUCCAUAGAAGAUAUGAAGUAUGACAAGUUUGAUCUGAUUGAGAAUGACUGACUUCUGUGUAUACCCCACCCAGAUCCAACCCAUCCUGGUUUAGCACUCAAUAAAUCAUCAAAAGGAGAUCAUUUCCUAAGC
RNAcentral lists this long non-coding RNA (252 nucleotides) under Marmota monax (woodchuck). The record is from RNAcentral. Lineage: Eukaryota; Metazoa; Chordata; Mammalia; Rodentia; Sciuridae.